RNAcentral lists this ribosomal RNA (694 nucleotides) under uncultured bacterium. Its description in RNAcentral is "bacterial SSU rRNA". It matches the Rfam family "Bacterial small subunit ribosomal RNA", at positions 32 to 715 of the family's 1533-position model. The record is from RNAcentral.
AACGCUAGCUACAGGCUUAACACAUGCAAGUCGAGGGGCAGCAUGGUCUUAGCUUGCUAAGGCCGAUGGCGACCGGCGCACGGGUGAGUAACACGUAUCCAACCUGCCGUCUACUCUUGGACAGCCUUCUGAAAGGAAGAUUAAUACAAGAUGGCAUCAUGAGUCCGCAUGUUCACAUGAUUAAAGGUAUUCCGGUAGACGAUGGGGAUGCGUUCCAUUAGAUAGUAGGCGGGGUAACGGCCCACCUAGUCUUCGAUGGAUAGGGGUUCUGAGAGGAAGGUCCCCCACAUUGGAACUGAGACACGGUCCAAACUCCUACGGGAGGCAGCAGUGAGGAAUAUUGGUCAAUGGGCGAGAGCCUGAACCAGCCAAGUAGCGUGAAGGAUGACUGCCCUAUGGGUUGUAAACUUCUUUUAUAAAGGAAUAAAGUCGGGUAUGGAUACCCGUUUGCAUGUACUUUAUGAAUAAGGAUCGGCUAACUCCGUGCCAGCAGCCGCGGUAAUACGGAGGAUCCGAGCGCUAUCCGGAUUUAUUGGGUUUAAAGGGAGCGUAGAUGGAUGUUUAAGUCAGUUGUGAAAGUUUGCGGCUCAACCGUAAAAUUGCAGUUGAUACUGGAUAUCUUGAGUGCAGUUGAGGCAGGCGGAAUUCGUGGUGUAGCGGUGAAAUGCUUAGAUAUCACGAAGAACUCCGAUUG